ACUCCUACGGGAGGCAGCAGUGGGGAAUAUUGCGCAAUGGGCGAAAGCCUGACGCAGCAACGCCGCGUGAGGGAUGACGGCCUUCGGGUUGUAAACCUCUUUCAGCAGGGACGAAGCGAAAGUGACUGUACCUGCAGAAGAAGCGCCGGCUAACUACGUGCCAGCAGCCGCGGUAAU
This 177-nucleotide ribosomal RNA is filed under the name uncultured bacterium. Its description in RNAcentral is "partial 16S ribosomal RNA". It matches the Rfam family "Bacterial small subunit ribosomal RNA", at positions 335 to 524 of the family's 1533-position model. The record is from RNAcentral.